This 628-nucleotide ribosomal RNA is filed under the name uncultured Actinomycetales bacterium. RNAcentral's name for it is "bacterial SSU rRNA". It matches the Rfam family "Bacterial small subunit ribosomal RNA", at positions 23 to 665 of the family's 1533-position model. Lineage: Bacteria; Bacillati; Actinomycetota; Actinomycetes; Actinomycetales. The record is from RNAcentral.
CUCAGGACGAACGCUGGCGGCGUGCUUAACACAUGCAAGUCGAACGGAAAGGCCCUGCUUGCAGGGUACUCGAGUGGCGAACGGGUGAGUAACACGUGGGUGAUCUGCCCUGCACUUCGGGAUAAGCUUGGGAAACUGGGUCUAAUACCGGAUAGGAACCAUCUUAGUGUGGUGGUUGGAAAGUUUUUUCGGUGUAGGAUGAGCUCGCGGCCUAUCAGCUUGUUGGUGGGGUAAUGGCCUACCAAGGCGGCGACGGGUAGCCGGCCUGAGAGGGUGUACGGCCACAUUGGGACUGAGAUACGGCCCAGACUCCUACGGGAGGCAGCAGUGGGGAAUAUUGCACAAUGGGCGCAAGCCUGAUGCAGCGACGCCGCGUGGGGGAUGAAGGCCUUCGGGUUGUAAACUCCUUUCGCUAGGGACGAAGCUUUUUGUGACGGUACCUAGAUAAGAAGCACCGGCUAACUACGUGCCAGCAGCCGCGGUAAUACGUAGGGUGCGAGCGUUGUCCGGAAUUACUGGGCGUAAAGGGCUCGUAGGUGGUUUGUCGCGUCGUCUGUGAAAUUCUGGGGCUUAACUCCGGGCGUGCAGGCGAUACGGGCAUAACUUGAGUGCUGUAGGGGUAACUGGA